This 857-nucleotide ribosomal RNA is filed under the name Cudonia confusa. RNAcentral's name for it is "eukaryotic LSU rRNA". It matches the Rfam family "Eukaryotic large subunit ribosomal RNA", at positions 65 to 939 of the family's 3401-position model. Lineage: Eukaryota; Fungi; Ascomycota; Leotiomycetes; Rhytismatales; Cudoniaceae. The record is from RNAcentral.
CCAACAGGGAUUGCCUCAGUAACGGCGAGUGAAGCGGCAACAGCUCAAAUUUGAAAGCUGGCUCUUUCAGGGCCCGCAUUGUAAUUUGUAGAGGAUGCUUCGGGUGCGGCGCUGGUCUAAGUUCUUUGGAACAAGACGUCAUAGAGGGUGAGAAUCCCGUAUGUGACUAGCUGCCUGUGCCUGUGUGAAGCUCCUUCGACGAGUCGAGUUGUUUGGGAAUGCAGCUCAAAAUGGGUGGUGUACUUCAUCUAAAGCUAAAUAUUGGCCAGAGACCGAUAGCGCACAAGUAGAGUGAUCGAAAGAUGAAAAGCACUUUGGAAAGAGAGUUAAACAGUACGUGAAAUUGUUGAAAGGGAAGCGCUUGCAAUCAGACUUGCGCGGCGUCGAUCAACCUGGGUUCUCCCUGGUGCACUCGGCGCUGCUCAGGCCAGCAUCAGUUUCAGCGGUUGGAUAAAGGCCUAGGGAACGUGGGUUACUUCGGUGACUGUUAUAGCCCUAGGUGCAAUGCAGCCUGUUGGGACUGAGGACCGCGCUUCGGCUAGGAUGCUGGCGUAAUGGUUGUAAGCGACCCGUCUUGAAACACGGACCAAGGAGUCUAACAUCUAUGCGAGUUUUUGGGUGUCAAACCCAUAAGCGUAAUGAAAGUGAACGGAGGUGAGAACCCUUAAGGGUGCAUCAUCGACCGAUCCUGAUGUCUUCGGAUGGAUUUGAGUAAGAGCAUAGCUGUUGGGACCCGAAAGAUGAUGAUCUAUACCUGAAUAGGGUGAAGCCAGAGGAAACUCUGGUGGAGGCUCGCAGCGGUUCUGACGUGCAAAUCGAUCGUCAAAUUUGGGUAUAGGGGCGAAAGACUAAUCGAA